GUCAUGCUGCAACCGCACGAAGCGGGUUCGCAAGCACGGCAAGCGUCCGGUUUCCCCGGCCCGCGCCGUCACCUGGCAGAUAGGCGAGUCUGAGACAUGAG
Paenibacillus sp. is the source of this 101-nucleotide non-coding RNA. Lineage: Bacteria; Bacillati; Bacillota; Bacilli; Caryophanales; Paenibacillaceae. The record is from Rfam.